Molecule: non-coding RNA, 80 nt
Filed under: Roseibium album
Lineage: Bacteria; Pseudomonadati; Pseudomonadota; Alphaproteobacteria; Hyphomicrobiales; Stappiaceae
Also listed under: 1 other name
Source: RNAcentral
AACGCACUUCGUGGUGAUUUGGGCCGGCCGGCUUGCAGCCACGUUAAACAAGUUGCUAAAUAGGCCGGAGGUGCGAACCC